This 1121-nucleotide long non-coding RNA is filed under the name Equus caballus (horse). RNAcentral describes it as "lncRNA (ENSECAG00000043986.1)". The record is from RNAcentral. Lineage: Eukaryota; Metazoa; Chordata; Mammalia; Perissodactyla; Equidae.
GUAGAAGCCAAUGAACAUUCCUGAGGACCUACUGGGCUCCAGACAGCGCCUAAGAUGAGCUGUGAAAGCCACAAGAGUUGGCAGUGAUAUUAUCCCACCGACAAAUGAGGACACAGCUCAGUGAGGACAAAUGACCCCCUACAUUCACUCAGUGUGGAAGGGGAGGAGCCGGCACUCGGAUUCAGCCAGCCCUGCCCGGCUCCACAGGGCGUGCUCUUUCCACGGCACCGCAAUGCACAAUCCGACACCAGGGAGCAGCCCCUCCAGGAAAGUCAGAACUCGCCCUGCGGUGUCCACUCCUCCAUCCACAGCCCCCCAGGGUCAUUCCACCCGUUUCCUUUAUAGUUUGCCAUUGGCCCAGUUCAGUUCCGGUGGCACUGCCCGUCCCGGAUGCAGGCCAAAGACGGGCCAGGCUUUCAUAGCAGAGAUGAAAGGCAGGGGAGCUGUGUGCACGAGGACGCUGACGAGCCAGACAGAGAGGAGGUCUGUCCACACCGGCCGCCACCGCUGCACAGGGAGGGGACUGCCAACAGACAGCCGUCCCCAGAGCGGGCUGCAGGAGCGCCGGGCCGGCCAAGCCACCAUGCACGCCUCCCACACACAGCCUGCAGCCCCAGGAAAUGGAGGUUUGAGACCGCAAGCAUAAAUGUCCAGGAGGGCUGACCGGCCCCUCUAUUUCUUCCCUCUUUUUUUCUCUCUCUCUUUUCCAGCAAAGCCAGCAAUUGAGAACUCCACAUGACAGAUUCCUGUGGCUAAAAGGGGCCUCUUGAGGUCAUCGACCCUGUUCCCCCACAUCAAGACAAGCCUGUCCUGAAGCUACUCAGAGGCUGGCCACAGUCCUCAUUACAGGAUCUGGAGGAGAGGCUGCCACCUCCUUUGUUGCUACCAGGGCAGCCUCGCCUUCUGUCUCACAGCACUCGUGACAUUUAAUUUUCCUCUUUUAGUCCAAUAUCUGUGUCCUGGCUCAUGACUGUGAGCGCCUAAGGCGAGGGACCCUGUUGUAAUCUUCUCUGUAUCUUCAGAACUUAGCAUAAUGCCUGGUCCAGUGGGGCUACUUAGUAAAUGAUGGUGGGUGGGUGGGUGAGUGGAUGAGUGGACAGGUGCAUAGAUGAGUGUGUGGA